Long non-coding RNA from Corvus hawaiiensis (hawaiian crow), 1510 nucleotides. RefSeq lists it as uncharacterized. Lineage: Eukaryota; Metazoa; Chordata; Aves; Passeriformes; Corvidae. The transcript has 4 exons. The record is from RefSeq and is a predicted model, not a curated record.
UCUCUGCCUGGGACAAAGUUUUGCUAAGCCGAGCUCGCACGCUUCGAAAGGGUAAAAACCUCCCUGGAGGAACUCAGGUGGAGCUGAGUUUGAAGCCAAUUCCCCCUUGUCCUCGAGUGAAAACCCUGGACACACAGAGGGCAGUGAAGUUUGGGGAUUUUUCCAAGGGGAAUCAAUUUCUAAGCAAGGCCGUUCCUGUAAUGAAAACGGAGCUUUCUCAUCCAAAAAGGAAAAAAAAAGGGCACAGCUAAUGCCUGACCCCUGAUGUCACCGGGGGGGAGCAGCACCCCACCAAAACUGCAGUUUUCACUGGCUCCCAGCGAGGAACCAUCAGGAAGAAUAGCUGGAAAAGCACGGCUCAACUUGAGGUAUUUAUAAUUCAUCUCUCCGCUAACCUCAGAAUGCACCUUCUGUCUGCAAGACACAUCUCCCCUUCUAUUGCUUUUUUUUUUUUAUGCCUAAUAAAGAUUUUCCUGAGUUCAUGCCUAAGAAACCUGGUGGCAGACUCGACUAAAGAGGAGGAUUUUGAUUCCUCUGCCAACAUUUUUUUGCUCCAGCUUUUGGAGGAGAACAGGGAGCUGCCUGCUGCAGUUUGCAUGGGUUUCCUCUGCUAGAAAGUGCAGCCCUCCCUACUCAAACAUGUCACCAGAACCAAGCCUUCAUGAACAUGAGAUACUUCAUCAUCCUGAAAAUAUUUGUGGUUGCAGUAAAUGUUUUCUCACCCAGUAUUAGCAAGUCAAAUUAUUUUCUGCUCUAUGAUUAGCCUCUUUUGCACUUAAGGAACAGGAAUUCCAACUGAGUUGAAGAGCAAAACUGGGUUUAUUGGAGCACGACCUGUGAAAAUUUCCAGAGGAUACAAGUAAAGUAUAAAGAUACCUCGCUACUGUACACUGAUAAUUUAAUUUCUUCUGUGGGACAAUCAGGGAAGUUCUGAUUAAAUUUUGAUUUACUCUUAAGCUGAUCCCACGUCUGACUGACCUCAUGUUUCAAGAGGAAUCAUCAAACACAGGUAUCUAAUUCUGAUGCGGAAAUACCCAAUUAUCUGAAAUGACUGAGCACUUUUUAUGCUCACGGAUUGCAAAGAGCUUCUUUGACUUCUUCACUGGGAACAUUUACAGAACAUCCCAGCAACUGGUUUCUCUUGGGCAGGCAGUGCCUGAUCACCAGCACAAUCUUGAGUUUUGCUGACCUCUGUAAUUCAGCAUUUGUGUGAAACCCAGGUAUUUUUAUUUCCUAAGCAAGGGGAAGAACGACAGGCAUCCACUGAACUCACACUUUGCCCCAGAACCUCAGGCCUGAGGGAAAUAUUGGAGCAGAAGAGUAGAAAAUACGAAUAUUCCCCGAGAAUUUUGACUUUGUAGCUAAGAAUGGAACCACACAGGCACAGACCAACGGGUGCUUUUUUCCUUAGGGAUUAACCGGGUCUUGGAAGGAGGUUUUACAUCAUUAUCCAAACUUUGCAGCUCAUUCCUGGCUGUGAGUUUAGAAUCACACAAGUAUUAAAACCUCA